This 454-nucleotide ribosomal RNA is filed under the name uncultured Actinomycetes bacterium. RNAcentral's name for it is "bacterial SSU rRNA". It matches the Rfam family "Bacterial small subunit ribosomal RNA", at positions 52 to 516 of the family's 1533-position model. The record is from RNAcentral. Lineage: Bacteria; Bacillati; Actinomycetota; Actinomycetes.
UACCAUGCAAGUCGAACGAUGAAGUGGAGCUUGCUCCACGGAUUAGUGGCGAACGGGCUGAGUAACACGUGAAUAACCUGCCCUCAAUUUCGGAAUAACCCAGGGAAACCUGGGCUAAUACCGGAUACGUAAACCUGUGGCAUCACAUGGUUCUGGAAAGUUUUUCGAUUGAGGAUGGAUUCGCGGCCUAUCAGCUUGUUGGUGAGGUAAUGGCUCACCAAGGCGACGACGGGUAGCCGGCCUGAGAGGGUGAACGGCCACACUGGGACUGAGACACGGUCCAGACUCCUACGGGAGGCAGCAGUGGGGAAUAUUGCGCAAUGGACGAAAGUCUGACGCAGCGACGCCUCGUGAGGGACGAAGGUCUUCGGAUUGUAAACCUCUUUCAGCAUGGACGAAGCGAAAGUGACGGUACCUGCAGAAGAAGCACCGGCUAACUAUGUGCCAUCCAGCC